GGAGUGGUACUCAAGUUGGUGAAGAGGACAGUUUGCUAAACUGUUAGAAUCCUUUUCGGGUUGCGUGGGUUCGAGUCCCACCCGCUCCGCCA
This 92-nucleotide transfer RNA is filed under the name Candidatus Limimonas egerieequi. RNAcentral's name for it is "tRNA-Ser". It matches the Rfam family "tRNA". Rfam says of the family: Transfer RNA (tRNA) molecules are approximately 80 nucleotides in length. The record is from RNAcentral. Lineage: Bacteria; Bacillati; Bacillota; Clostridia; Eubacteriales; Acutalibacteraceae.